This 91-nucleotide transfer RNA is filed under the name Bacteroides sp. CAG:545. RNAcentral describes it as "transfer RNA-Ser(GCT)". It matches the Rfam family "tRNA". Rfam says of the family: Transfer RNA (tRNA) molecules are approximately 80 nucleotides in length. Their secondary structure includes four short double-helical elements and three loops (D, anti-codon, and T loops). Lineage: Bacteria; Pseudomonadati; Bacteroidota; Bacteroidia; Bacteroidales; Bacteroidaceae. The record is from RNAcentral. RNAcentral also lists the same sequence under 1 other name.
GGAGAGGUGGGUGAGUGGCUGAAACCACCAGUUUGCUAAACUGACGUACGGGUUUACCGUACCACGAGUUCGAAUCUCGUCCUCUCCGCAA